CCUACGGGUGGCUGCAGUGGGGAAUAUUGCACAAUGGGCGAAAGUCUGAUGCAGCGACGCCGCGUGAGUGAAGAAGGAAUUCGGUAUGUAAAGCUCUAUUAGCAGGGAAGAAAAUGACGGUACCUGAGUAAGAAGACCCGGCUAACUACGCGCCAGCAGCCGCGGUAAUACGUAGGGGGCAAGCGUUAUACGGAUUUAUUGGGUGUAAAGGGAGCGUAGACGGCAGUGCAAGUCUGGAGUGAAAGGCGGGGGCUCAACCCCCGGACUGCUCUGGAAACUAUACGGCUGGAGUGCAGGAGAGGUAAGUGGAAUUCCUAGUGUAGCGGUGAAAUGCGUAGAUAUUAGGAGGAACACCAGUGGCGAAGGCGGCUUACUGGACUGUAACUGACGUUGAGGCUCGAAAGCGUGGGGAGCAAACAGGAUUAGAUACCCGUGUAGUC
Molecule: ribosomal RNA, 440 nt
Filed under: uncultured bacterium
Lineage: Bacteria
Description: partial 16S ribosomal RNA
Rfam family: Bacterial small subunit ribosomal RNA
Source: RNAcentral